CACUUCUAAGGAAGGCAGCAGGCGCGCAAAUUACCCAAUCCUGACUCAGGGAGGUAGUGACAAGAAAUAACAAUAAACCGGCUUAUGCCGGUUUAAUUGGAAUGAGUACAAUUUAAACAUCUUAACGAGGAACAAUUGGAGGGCAAGUCUGGUGCCAGCAGCCGCGGUAAUUCCAGCUCCAAUAGCGUAUACUAAAGUUGUUGCAGUUAAAAAGCUCGUAGUUGGAUUUCUGUGGGGACGGAGCGGCCGGCCGCACAUCGCGGUUCGAGCUAGCGCUUUCCCUACAUCCUGCCGCGAACCGUGCUACCAUUAAUUUGGUGGCGCCGGGGAUCGGCUCGAUUACUUUGAGAAAAAUAGAGUGUUCAAAGCAGGCCACAUGCCUUGAAUAAGUUAGCAUGGAAUAAUAACUAAGGACUUCGGUUCUAUUUUGUUGGUGUUCGGGACUGAAGUAAUGAUUGAUAGGGACAGUUGGGGCGGUCUGUAUUCCAAAGCGAGAGGUGAAAUUCUUAGACCUUCGGAAGACAAACAGCUGCGAAAGCGUUCCGCAAGGAUGUUCCCUUUGAUCAAGAACGAAAGUUGGGGGAUCGAAGACGAUCAGAUACCGUCGUAGUCUCAACUAUAAACUAUACCAGCUAGGGAUCGGCCAACGUUAUUUUAUACCGACUUGGUCGGCGCCCUAUGAGAAAUCAAAGCAUCUGGGUUCCGGGGGGAGUAUGGUCGCAAGGCUGAAACUUAAAGGAAUUGACGGAAGGGCACCACCAGCCGUGGAGCCUGUGGCUUAAUUUGACUCAACACGGGAAAACUUACCAGGUCCAGACAUAGUAAGGAUUGACAGAUUGAUAGCUCUUUCUUGAUUCUGUGGGUGGUGGUGCAUGGCCGUUCUUAGUUGGUGGAGUGAUUUGUCUGGUUAAUUCCGUUAACGAACGAGACCCCAGCCUGCUAAAUAGCGCGCGUGAGCUUUGCUCGCGGCGAGCUUCUUAGAGGGACUAUGAUGCGCGAUAGCACAUGGAAGUUUGGGGCAAUAACAGGUCUGUGAUGCCCUUAGAUGUUCUGGGCCGCACACGGGCUACACUGGCGCCUGCAACGAGCAUAUCAGCUGGCCCGAGAGGGUCUUGGCUAAUCUUUUGAACCGGCGCCGUGCUUGGGAUUGACCUUUGCAAUUGUUGGUCAUGCAACGAGGAAUGCCUUGUAAACGCGAGUCAUCAGCUCGCAUUGAAUACGUCCCUGCCCUUUGUACACACCGCCCGUCGCUCCUACCGAUGAAUGUUCCGAUGAAAUUUUCGGAGAGUGCCUGUGAACUUGGCUCUGCCUUGCGAACGGGAAGCUCAAAGUCACUUAAAUCUGAACAUU
This 1350-nucleotide ribosomal RNA is filed under the name uncultured marine eukaryote. Its description in RNAcentral is "SSU rRNA". It matches the Rfam family "Eukaryotic small subunit ribosomal RNA", at positions 411 to 1773 of the family's 1831-position model. The record is from RNAcentral.